GGACCCCGAGUGCUCCUACUCAGUAGGAGCUGUCCAGUUGUCUAAAAAACAACCGUUAGCAAGAGCCGGGCAAGACCGGUGCCAGCCGCCGCGGUAACACCGGCGGCUCGAGUGGUGACCGUUAUUAUUGGGUCUAAAGGGUCCGUAGCUGGCUUAAUAAGUUCUUUGGGAAAUCUGGCGGCUUAACCGUCAGGCUGCUGAGGAAUACUAUUAGGCUCGAGACCGGGAGGGGCUAGAGGUACUUCAGGGGUAGGAGUGAAAUCCUGUAAUCCUUGAGAGACCACCAGUGGCGAAGGCGUCUAGCUAGAACGGGUCUGACAGUGAGGGACGAAAGCUAGGGUCGCGAACCGGAUUAGAUACCCGGGUAGUCCUAGCCGUAAACGAUGCGAGCUAUGUAUCAGUUUCACUGCGAGUGAAAUUGGUGCCGUAGAGAAGUCGUGAAGCUCGCCACCUGGGAAGUACGGCCGCAAGGCUGAAACUUAAAGGAAUUGGCGGGGGAGCACUACAAUGGGUGGAGCCUGCGGUUCAAUUGGAUUCAACGCCGNA
RNAcentral lists this ribosomal RNA (546 nucleotides) under uncultured organism. RNAcentral describes it as "bacterial SSU rRNA". It matches the Rfam family "Archaeal small subunit ribosomal RNA", at positions 376 to 922 of the family's 1478-position model. The record is from RNAcentral.